CAACUCCAGGAUUCGUCGAUCA
This 22-nucleotide microRNA is filed under the name Cavia porcellus (domestic guinea pig). RNAcentral's name for it is "cpo-miR-12075-5p". The record is from miRBase by way of RNAcentral. Lineage: Eukaryota; Metazoa; Chordata; Mammalia; Rodentia; Caviidae.